RNAcentral lists this long non-coding RNA (3051 nucleotides) under Triticum aestivum (bread wheat). RNAcentral's name for it is "long non-coding RNA (TAES_LNC020511)". The record is from RNAcentral. Lineage: Eukaryota; Viridiplantae; Streptophyta; Magnoliopsida; Poales; Poaceae.
UAAGCGUGCACGUGCAAAUGCACGUCUCAACUAAUAUAUAUGUAAGAAUUAACAUACCAAGAAAGAUAUUUUGAUUGCACUAAAAAGUACUAUUAUAAAUCAAGAAGACACUUCAAUGUAUCAUCGACUCAUCAUAUUCAUAGAGCCAAAAAAUUAUAGCAGUAUUUCCUGAUGAAGCUGAUCAAUUCUCUUAAACAUCCGAAAUGUUGUGUGUAGCUUCACUGUUGAUGUAGUUGAGUAGGUGCACCAAAAAUUGCUUCCUUAUCUGGUCACCAUCCUGAAUGAAAAUAGCAAGUCAAUCUAAGUUUUUGCAUAGAACAUAAAAUCAUGAAAUAAUGAAUAUUGACCCUGCAAAUUGGUUGAUUUAGUUCCUUCGCAUUCCAUGAGUGCAAUAAACUAAAAGCAAAAUAAUCAGACCAGUUCUUGUAGAUAUAUGCAUUAUCAUUAUCUUGAGCGUUAGAAAAACUAAAUAAUAUGCUUUAGUGGUUUGAAAGGUAGUCAGUUGUCUUUGUUUUUUGGAACACGAGCUGGUAAUCGACGACGGCAGAAGAAAAAAAGACAUCAUCCCAUUCAGGAUUUGCUACUUGGGGUGUGCUUUAGGUAUAAUGAGAUGCACAUCUUUCAGAGUUGGAACUCGGUGGGCAUCAACUCUCUUGCGCAUCAUACUAAACACGAGCAAGAAACUUAAGCAUGCGAUAAGAGAGGAAAGAAUUCAUACAAGUUGAUUUAAUUUGGAAAGGCUUAUGCAUCACAUUGAUACUAUAGACUCCAUAUACCAAGCAUCAUGUCGAAACCACAGUGAGUACUUACAACAUCUUAACAUUAGAACAUUGUACGCAAUAUCCCAUUGAUGUCACAAUCAGUAUAAUAAAACAGAAAAUCACAUCUAAUCCCAUAAAAGAUUACAUUUGCUAAGUGCAAUGUCUGAACGGAUAGCAGCAUAUGAUUAUUCAAGAGGGACAUCACUUUGCUAAACAAAAAAUGUAAGUGAUACAGAAAAAUAAGUAUAUCAAAAAUAUGAAUGGAACUAUGCUCCAACAAAAGUAUAAAACGAAUGAAUCAAAAGCAAAGCCUGCUUAUGAGCUUGUUCAUUUAGAUUGAUACCGGUAGCUAGUUCCUUACGUGCAGAUGUAUUCUCUUGAGAAACAUGACACCUUAAAAACUAUACACGGGACACUGUAUAUUGAACUCAACAACAAAAGUUUGGGUUCUAUUAAGUUGAAUAUCAUCAACCUAACUUGGAAACAUAAAAUUGUUACUGCCAGAGUUCGUACUUCCAUAUAUGUUGUGCCUCCUUUCGUCUUCUCUACAAUUGGGUACUCGAGAUUGAAGCUGAUUCUACCUCCAACCUUUACUGGGACAAAAAAAGACCAUUUCACUGUCGAGAAUUACAACAGUGCUCAGUUUCAUCAACUAUUCAUUUCUCAUAUUCAUUACUCUAGUAAUGGUUACUUUGCUCCUAAACUGGCAGUACUCCCACUGUACAUGUUUUGGAUGUUUUUUGGCUUUCAAAAUCGAUUGCUGCUUGUGGUGUUAUCAAAUUUCCAAAAAAAGCACCAGCUGCAAUCAAGAAUAGUACAUUACCUAUCCACUUUUUUAAAAGGACAUUACAUAUCCACUUAAUUCACAAGACAGUCCUACAGAAAUCAAGUCAUUUUUUCCUCUACUAAUGUAUACAGGAAGCAGCAUUUUUUCAGGUUCAAUCAUGACUACCUCUUUGUGAGGCAGGUAAGCCAGGAACCCGUCGGCUGCUCCGCUCCCACUGCUGGGGAGUGGUGAGGUGGAACACCGAAUGAGGAGGGUAGCGAAUGAACCACUGUGAAUUUUUAACAUCAUAAGAUAUUUAUGUACUGCAAAUAUUCUGAAAUUUGUACACCGGCCAGUAUGCACUCUCUAGCAAGCAACCAAAUAUUCUGAAAUAUGUACAGCAGCCAGUAUGUACAACAACCAGUCUUCAGGGAUAGCUAGCACCCAAUGAACUAUUUUAUGAAAAAACAAUCAGUGAAUAUGAUACCGCAAUUGUUGCCUCUAAAACAAAAUCACUAAGUUGUAGUUUACAAAUUAUGAUGCUAUACAUGUCACCAAUUAUCUAGCUUCCUACGGCACUAACUUCUUACCAGUUGACACCGAAGCGCCUAGUUGAGUUUUGACACACCCUCGUUGGAGGACCUCUUUGAACUCUAACUGUACCAACAACUGCCUUCUCAGUUAAAACAUGGUGCGCCCAAACUGCAGUGCAACGGAAAAAAUCAAUCACUUUGCCAAAAGGUCGGAAUAACUCUGGCAAAAAUGAUUCCAGUUGUAAAACGUGAAUGCUGCCGAACUAACUUGUUUAUUUGUAACCAAUCUCACUUGUUUUAAUACCAGAAAAGUUUAUGCAUUUAAUAUAAAAAAUACACAAUAUAUGCACAGCCAUACAUUAUCCACCCUAAAUGAAGCUUAAUUCCACAAAAGGAUUAUCUUCAUCAUUAGCAUUAGAAAGGGGAUAAAAAUCUUACAUGUAAAGCAACAUCCUAUGACAGAGUACACGCCAAUGAAUUAUGUAUUAUUUAAACUUCCUGACAGGACACAAAAUAACUUGGUAUGAAUGUUCAUGAUAUUCAUUAUGUGAUCGAGUGGCGGAAAAAAUGGUGUACGAAAUGUUAAUGGAAUACCUUAUGUGGACUUUGGAACUGCAAUAUGAUGCAGGCAACGAACAAGUAUAGUAGAUAAAAAUUCUCCAGCUUCCAUGGCACCGAUAUGGUCAAAAUAAUAACCAUGUAUUCCCUCAUGUGCAGUAACAAUAGCAUCAAUCUGGAAACCUACUGCAUCGCUGUGGUGAUUCGCAACAGAACCACAUGUUUCUUCUUGCGUCAUGCAACAUUAGUCUCUGCAAAUCUAACAUAUUGAAUUUGAGAGUACGCCCAUGGAGCGGAGGUUGAUGAUAGCAGCCGCAUCCUCCCGUGGGAAGAGUGGGGUGGCGACGACGGAUCACGCCUUGCCGGCGAAGUCCAAGGGAGGCGGCAGAUCCCGCUGUUCAAGGGCGUCCUGCGGCUUCAGUACAUGUUGCAU